RNAcentral lists this ribosomal RNA (171 nucleotides) under Vesicomya sp. mt-II symbiont. Its description in RNAcentral is "partial 16S ribosomal RNA". It matches the Rfam family "Bacterial small subunit ribosomal RNA", at positions 762 to 932 of the family's 1533-position model. Lineage: Bacteria; Pseudomonadati; Pseudomonadota; Gammaproteobacteria. The record is from RNAcentral.
UGGGUAGCAAACAGGAUUAGAUACCCUGGUAGUCCACGCCGUAAACGAUGAUAACUAGCCGUUGGGGGGAUUUACCCUUUAGUGGCGAAGCUAACGCGUUAAGUUAUCCGCCUGGGGAGUACGGCCGCAAGGUUAAAACUCAAAGGAAUUGACGGGGACCCGCACAAGCGG